AAUUAAACGAAGUAAUCGCAGCUUCUGGCCGUAUUGAAUGCUGCAACUCGGAAUAUUCGCAACCUUUGCCUGUCGACUUUGCUGCAAUUCUAAGGAAGAUUUUUCGCAAUAUUCGAUUCUCAAUCUCAUCUUCUCAAACCACCACAGAUCUAGAAUUUCAAGAGAAAGGUUUUCGAAUCUCCAUAGCCAUGGCUCCUUCUACACAAAUCUUUCCUACUCGCUCCUUCCUCUUUAUCUUUGUUCCUUCGCCAGCCAUAGCACGCGUUUGUGAGAUAGGUAAACUUGUAGUGUUUCGACUUUGUGUCAAAUCGUCAUUCAUGUCUACAGAGAAAUAAAGGUGGGGCGGAAGAGAGAGGAAGAUGCCGAAGUUUUCUUGUUCAAACAAACAAAUUCGCCAGCCACCGGUCGGGUUUUCUUGUUCCUUUUCAACAUCCGCCGCCGGCAACACCGCACCCCUCCAAUUCAAGCCCUUAAAUUGCAGAUAAGUAGAGAUAGAAGGAGCUAGGGUUUUGCGGUACUUGCUUAGGAGAGUGCACUAGCAAUGUGUUGUCUGAAAAUCGUCCACCAUCAGAAUGGUAGACAACUACUUUGAGGUCGAGGAAAGAAAAAGCUCGAAGAUUAGGAAAUAAAAGCUGAGCAAAAUCAAAUGAAUUAGGGAUUCCAAAUCGAGGCUCGUGUUGUUGGACUCAAAGUCCUCACCCCAUCUGCAAGGGGAUGAUUGACGGAGCAUUUGUACAGAAGUUGAUAUAUUAGCUAUAUGUGUAGAGAGAUAUUAUGUGAUUCAUGAAGGUUAGAGGAUACAUUAAUCGAACUUUAUCUGUCGGGCAAUCCAAAUACAACAUCUGAAGUUGUUGAUAACCAGCAGCUUCCGAAGGAAACAGAUGACGAAGAUGGUUUUAUGUUGACAACUGAUGGAAACAGCAAACUCUACGAGCAGGAAGAUGCCGAGUUGAGUUUGGACCAGCACGCUGCAACUGAUUCAAGUACCAGUGUCUUCCAUGAAGGGUUAUGUACAAAGAGAAAUGCCAUACUCUAAUGAGGAGUUUGAAGAAACUCGAGAACAAUGGGCAAAGUAUUUUAAGAACAACUAUUUGAUGGAUGCCGGCGAAUGAGUUUGUUGUCUAGUAAUAUUAUGUUUUAUGUUUUUGUUAUGUGUUGGAUAUGACGUUGGAUGCUACUUGGAGCAUAUAUAUGGUUGUUGGAACAUAUAUGUAUGUUAUGUCUUAUA
Long non-coding RNA from Spinacia oleracea (spinach), 1228 nucleotides. RefSeq lists it as uncharacterized. The record is from RefSeq and is a predicted model, not a curated record. Lineage: Eukaryota; Viridiplantae; Streptophyta; Magnoliopsida; Caryophyllales; Amaranthaceae. The transcript has 7 exons.